AUCUGGAACGAUCGGCCAUAGACGGUGAUAGCCCGGUAAACGAAACGACGAGAGGCUCUCUGGGCAGACAUCCUAAGUACCACGGGACACGAGAAACCCUGUGGGAAUCCGGGAAGACCACUUCCCAAGGCUAAAUACUACUUGGCGACCGAUAGUGAACCAGUACCGUGAGGGAAAGGUGAAAAGAACCCCGGGAGGGGAGUGAAAAGAACCUGAAACCGUACGCUUACAAGCAGUGAGAGGGCUAUGGGCCGCAAGGUCAAUGCCUGAUCGCGUGCCUUUUGCAUAAUGAGCCGGCGAGUUAUUAGGUGUGGCAAGGUUAAUCUCGAUAAACGAGAGGAGCCGUAGCGAAAGCGAGUCUGAAUAGGGCGAUAUAGUCACACUUAAUAGACCCGAAGCGGAAUGAUCUACCCAUGGCCAGGGUGAAGCGGGGUUAAACCCCCGUGGAGGCCCGAACUGGUGAUUGUUGCAAAAAUCUCGGAUGAGUUGUGGGUAGGGGUGAAAGGCUAAUCAAAUUCCGUGAUAGCUGGUUCUCCCCGAAAUAGCUUGAGGACUAGCCCUGCGAAUUAACUGACGGAGGUAGAGCACUGAAUGGACUAGGGGCCUUACCCGGUUACCAAACCCAAUCAAACUCCGAAUACCGUCAAGUCUUACCGCAGGAGUCAGACUACGGGUGCUAAGAUUCGUGGUCAAAAGGGAAAGAGCCCAGACCGCCAGCUAAGGUCCCUAAAUAUAUGCUAAGUGGGAAAGGUUGUGGAGGCGCUCAGACAGCCAGGAGGUUUGCUUAGAAGCAGCAAUCCUUUAAAGAAAGCGUAAUAGCUCACUGGUCAAGUGAAUCUGCGCCGAAAAUAUAACGGGGCUAAAGCAUAUUACCGAAGCUGCGGAUUCUACCGCAAGGUUGAGUGGUAGGGGAGCAUUCUGUCGUAGGUUGAAGGCGGACCGUAAGGACCGCUGGACGAAACAGAAGAGAUUCUGCCGGCAUAAGUAGCGAUAAAACGGAUGAAAAAUCCGUUCGCCGAAAACCUAAGGUUUCCUGGGCAAUGUUAAUCAUCCCAGGGUGAGUCGGUACCUAAGACGAGGCCGAAAGGAGUAGUCGAUGGACAGCAGGUUAAUAUUCCUGCACUACUGUGGUAGCGUUAUCAGCAAUGGGGGGACGCAGGAAGGUAGAUCUACAGGCGACUGGAAAUGCCUGGCCGCAAUUCAAGGGGGAUCCCGUAGGUAAAUCCGCGGGGUCAAGGAAAGCGGGGAAGCGAGCCUUCGGGCAAGCCAACUGAUUGAUCCUACGCUGCCAAGAAAAACCUCUAGCGAGUCAUCAUAGUAACCGUACCGCAGUCCGACACAGGUAGGUAGGAGGAAAACUCUAAGGCGCUUGAGAGAACUCUGGCUAAGGAACUAGGCAAAUUAGCCCCGUAACUUCGGGAUAAGGGGCGCCUCAGUAGGGUGUUAAAGCCCGAGGAGGCCGCAGUGAAAUGGCUCUGGCGACUGUUUAUCAAAAACACAGGUGUCUGCUAAGCCGCAAGGCGAUGUAUAGGCACUGAUGCCUGCCCGGUGCCGGAAGGUUAACAGGAGGGGUCAGCCGCAAGGCGAAGCUCUGAAUCGAAGCCCCGGUAAACGGCGGCCGUAACUAUAACGGUCCUAAGGUAGCGAAAUUCCUUGUCGGGUAAGUUCCGACCUGCACGAAUGGCAUAACGGCACGAAUGGCAUAACGACUGGAGCACUGUCUCGGCCAGAGACUCAGCGAACUUGUAUCAUCGGUGAAGAUGCCGAUUACCCGCAACUAGACGGAAAGACCCUGUGAACCUUUACUAUAGCUUGGCAAUGAAUUUUGGAACCGUAUGUGUAGGAUAGGUGGGAGACUUUGAGACGGGGGCGCUAGCUCUCGUGGAGUCGCCGUUGAAAUACCACCCUUAUUUUUCUGAAAUUCUAACCUGGGCCCAUUAUCUGGGUCGGGGACAUUGCCUGGUGGGUAGUUUGACUGGGGCGGUCGCCUCCCAAAUUGUAACGGAGGCGCCCAAAGGUUCCCUCA
Molecule: ribosomal RNA, 2026 nt
Filed under: alkali sediment metagenome
Description: bacterial LSU rRNA
Rfam family: Bacterial large subunit ribosomal RNA
Source: RNAcentral